AACGAACGCUGGCGGCAUGCCUAGCACAUGCAAGUCGAACGAGACCUUCGGGUCUAGUGGCGCACGGGUGCGUAACGCGUGGGAACCUGCCCUUAGGUUCGGAAUAACUCCCCGAAAGGGGUGCUAAUACCGGAUAAUGUCUUCGGACCAAAGAUUUAUCGCCUUUGGAUGGGCCCGCGUUGGAUUAGCUAGUUGGUAGGGUAAAAGCCUACCAAGGCGACGAUCCAUAGCUGGUCUGAGAGGAUGAUCAGCCACACUGGGACUGAGACACGGCCCAGACUCCUACGGGAGGCAGCAGUGGGGAAUAUUGGACAAUGGGCGAAAGCCUGAUCCAGCAAUGCCGCGUGAGUGAUGAAGGCCUUAGGGUUGUAAAGCGCUUUUACCCGGGAUGAUAAUGACAGUACCGGGAGAAUAAGCUCCGGCUAACUCCGUG
Molecule: ribosomal RNA, 433 nt
Filed under: uncultured bacterium
Lineage: Bacteria
Description: partial 16S ribosomal RNA
Rfam family: Bacterial small subunit ribosomal RNA
Source: RNAcentral